GAUGAACGCUGGCGGUGUGCCUAAUACAUGCAAGUCGAGCGAACGGACGAGAAGCUUGCUUCUCUGAUGUUAGCGGCGGACGGGUGAGUAACACGUGGAUAACCUACCUAUAAGACUGGGAUAACUUCGGGAAACCGGAGCUAAUACCGGAUGAUAUUUUGAACCGCAUGGUUCAAAAGUGAAAGACGGUCUUGCUGUCACUUAUAGAUGGAUCCGCGCUGCAUUAGCUAGUUGGUAAGGUAACGGCUUACCAAGGCAACGAUGCAUAGCCGACCUGAGAGGGUGAUCGGCCACACUGGAACUGAGACACGGUCCAGACUCCUACGGGAGGCAGCAGUAGGGAAUCUUCCGCAAUGGGCGAAAGCCUGACGGAGCAACGCCGCGUGAGUGAUGAAGGUCUUCGGAUCGUAAAACUCUGUUAUUAGGGAAGAACAUAUGUGUAAGUAACUGUGCACAUCUUGACGGUACCUAAUCAGAAAGCCACGGCUAACUACGUGCCAGCAGCCGCGGUAAUACGUAGGUGGCAAGCGUUAUCCGGAAUUAUUGGGCGUAAAGCGCGCGUAGGCGGUUUUUUAAGUCUGAUGUGAAAGCCCACGGCUCAACCGUGGAGGGUCAUUGGAAACUGGAAAACUUGAGUGCAGAAGAGGAAAGUGGAAUUCCAUGUGUAGCGGUGAAAUGCGCAGAGAUAUGGAGGAACACCAGUGGCGAAGGCGACUUUCUGGUCUGUAACUGACGCUGAUGUGCGAAAGCGUGGGGAUCAAACAGGAUUAGAUACCCUGGUAGUCCACGCCGUAAACGAUGAGUGCUAAGUGUUAGGGGGUUUCCGCCCCUUAGUGCUGCAGCUAACGCAUUAAGCACUCCGCCUGGGGAGUACGACCGCAAGGUUGAAACUCAAAGGAAUUGACGGGGACCCGCACAAGCGGUGGAGCAUGUGGUUUAAUUCGAAGCAACGCGAAGAACCUUACCAAAUCUUGACAUCCUUUGACAACUCUAGAGAUAGAGCCUUCCCCUUCGGGGGACAAAGUGACAGGUGGUGCAUGGUUGUCGUCAGCUCGUGUCGUGAGAUGUUGGGUUAAGUCCCGCAACGAGCGCAACCCUUAAGCUUAGUUGCCAUCAUUAAGUUGGGCACUCUAAGUUGACUGCCGGUGACAAACCGGAGGAAGGUGGGGAUGACGUCAAAUCAUCAUGCCCCUUAUGAUUUGGGCUACACACGUGCUACAAUGGACAAUACAAAGGGCAGCGAAACCGCGAGGUCAAGCAAAUCCCAUAAAGUUGUUCUCAGUUCGGAUUGUAGUCAGCAACUCGACUAUAUGAAGCUGGAAUCGCUAGUAAUCGUAGAUCAGCAUGCUACGGUGAAUACGUUCCCGGGUCU
This 1372-nucleotide ribosomal RNA is filed under the name uncultured bacterium. RNAcentral's name for it is "bacterial SSU rRNA". It matches the Rfam family "Bacterial small subunit ribosomal RNA", at positions 28 to 1381 of the family's 1533-position model. The record is from RNAcentral.